Long non-coding RNA from Lolium rigidum, 3757 nucleotides. RefSeq lists it as uncharacterized. Lineage: Eukaryota; Viridiplantae; Streptophyta; Magnoliopsida; Poales; Poaceae. The record is from RefSeq and is a predicted model, not a curated record. The transcript has 3 exons.
AGUGCUCGGAGGCUGGUUUGCUCGGUUGAGCACUUGAAUUCUGGCCGUCUGAUUGGGUUGGAUCACGCCCGCGUCCCGCGUCUGUUCCAGAGAGAUUUCCACCUGAGCGACCCACUUCUCCUUCGUCCCGUUCCCCAUUCCCCUUCGAUGACCGACCUAGGCUGCAGCCGGCGGCAUGCCGCUACGCCGCUCGCGUUCGCAACCGGUCGGCUCCUCUUCUUCCUCAAGCCAACCCAUCUGCUCUCCUCCCACGCACCUCCAUCGUCUCACUGCCUGACUGCCCCCACCCGUAGGGCACCCUCCGCCCCAUCGCGCCCUUGCCCUCCGACGGCGAGGACUUGGGCGCCGCUGGGGACGCCGCUUCCUCCGGGAGGAGCCACAGCCAGAAGAUGCGGGAGGCCAGCCGCGUCUGUAGUGGGGCAUGGAUCUGGGUUCCAUGGCUGUCGCUCCCCUAGUUUCUGUCGAUGUUCCCCUUAUCCCCUAGGCUUCCGCCGUUGCGCCCCCGAGCUUCUAGCGGCGACGCCCCCUUAUGCUCCCAUGAGCGCCUUCCAUGUAAUGGCGACUCUGGCGGAGGCAACUACGCCUAGCACAGGAGCCAAUUGAAUCUGAACAUCACUAGUCAACAACCAUCUUCAGGCUCGGCUGAAGGCAAUCAGGGAUGGCUUUUACAAGAGGAGAAUGACUAGAUCAUGUGCUCGUGCGUAACAGAGCUAAGCUGUGCAUUAAAGAAAUUUUUCUUUCUGUUUGCUCACCUGGUGAUGAGGUAAAGUUAUGAUCUAUUUAUACCGCAAUUUUUAGGAGAAGUAUGUUUUGUACUUGCUUACGUUAAUUUUAUAUAUCCAUGAAAGUAGCAGCACCAAAUGCUUGAUUUUUGUUUUGAAUUGCAAAUAUUUAAAGCUUAAUCUGGAGCAAACAAGCCUCAUAGUUAUAGCAUCUUAUUAUUCUUACCUCUAAAAUCUAGCGCUGCUAAGUUCAUUGAUGGCAGCUAAUUAAUCGGAUGAGGUGUAGAUAGAUUCUUUCUGGAAUGUGUGCUGGAGCAAACAAGCCUCAUAGUUAUAGCAUCUUAUUAUUCUUACCUCUAGAAUCUAGCGCUGCUAAGUUCAUUGAUGGCAGCUAAUUAAUCGGAUGAGGUGUAGAUAGAUUCUUUCUGGAAUGUGUGCGCCAUGCACCUAACUGCACAUCUAGGCUGGUUAUGCUCGUCCUGAUUCUGCUUCUCAAGUUAAUUGAUCAUGUAUGCAAUGUCUGUUCCCACUUGCAUGUAGCAAGAAAAGGAUCAGCCACCAGGUAUCCAUACAAUACGUAUAUAUACUCGAUCAAUUGUCUCCAAUUUAUCAUGAUAGUUAGGUUGGUCAAGUUGCUUUGUAGAUUUUAUUUAAGUUCAUUUUUACAUAUAACUAAGUUUUCUUGCCACUUAAAUUGCUUCAACCAUUUUAGCUAAGCUGGUUAUAUAGCCGUUUUAUAUGUUCUUUGCACACUAGUUAUAUAAUUAAGAUAUUGUAUGCCAUCAUAGUUAAAUUGAUUUCAGUAUAGAUAAUUUGUUCUUUCAGCAUAGACAAGUUGUUUUUGUCUACAUAACAAAGUGGCUUUUUGGAGUGUGUUUCUAAGAUUAUUUUGGUAUAGAAAUGAAUUGUUUUGUCUCCAUUGCUAAAUUACUACUAACUAAGUUUAUUUACAUAGUUUUGGGGAGUUUUAGUGUUAAAAACUUAGUUUUUGUGGACUGAGGCUUAAUUAAGAUUUUGUUUUUGUUAUCAUAGUUAAGUUGUUUUUAGCAUGCAAUUAAAUUGUUUUUGCAGUUAAUAUGAGUUGUUAUUAUCUACAUAAUUGUGUAUUUUGCAUUCAUGUUUACAUACAACUAACUUGUUUUGUUUCCAUAGGUAAAAUGACACCAUCUUAAGUAAGUUGGUUUCAUAGCUUGUCUUUAGGGGUUAGUUUUAGACCCUGAUUUUUCGUGGGGUGUGGGGGGCUAAUAUAAGGUGAUGUUGUUUGUCACAUUUAAUUAAGUUAUUUUUUAGGUUACAGUUAAGUUCGUUUUGAACAUAAUUAAAUUGUUUUAUCAACAUGCCUUAGCGUUAUUUAACUAAGUUGUAUUUUUAACCUAACCAAGUUGUACAAGCAAUGUCCGAAGUUGCAUAGUGAUUUAAUUAAGUUUCUUUUAUCAAUAUGCUUUAGUUGUUUCCAUCAUCUAACUAAGUUGUAUUUUAUCACCUAACCAGUUGUACAAGAAAUGCCGUAAGUUGCAUAGUGGUUUAGUAAAGUUGCUUCAUUAACAUGUUUUAGUUAUUUCCAUCAUCUAACUAAGAUGUGUUUUAUUACCCAACCAAGUUGGUGUAUAUGCAAUGUCUUAAGUUGCAUAGUAGAUUUAAUUAAGUUGAUUUUAUCAACAUGCUUAACUUGUUUCCGUCUUAUAACUAAGUUGUAUUUCAUCACCUAAUCAAUUUGUUGUACAAUCAAUGUUCUAAGUUGCUUCAUCAACAUGCUUUAGUUGUUUCCAUCAUCUAACUAAGAUGUGUUUUAUUACCUAUCCAAGUUGGUGUAUAUGCAAUGUCGUAAGUUGCGUAGUAGAUUUAAUUAAGUUGCUUUUAUCAACAUCCUUAACUUGUUUCCGUCGUCUAACUAAGUUGUAUUUCAUCACCUAAUCAAUUUGUUGUACAAGCAAUGUCCUAAGUUGCAUAGUGAUUUAAUAAAGUUGCAUUAUCAACAUGCUUAGUUGUUUCCAUCAUUAACUAAGUUGUGUUUUAAUAUUUAACCUUGGUGUACAAGCAAUGUCUUAAAUUGCAUAGUGACUUCAUUAAGCACAUGCAGCGUUGCUAGGCAGAAUCAUGCAUGCCUUUGCGCCAAUGGAUAUUGCUAAAUCAAACCAACUCACAGCCACCCACUCAUCUUCUUAACAUUUGUUACGUGUUGAAUGAAAUGCUGAUAUUUCUUGAUAGCAAAUUGGAUGUUUUUGUCUGAAAGUAGGUGCGCUUGAACAUAUAAAUUCCUGUGAAGUAUUAUUAGUAGUACCUAACAAUUCUCCUCAACAUCCAGAGAGUUGUCUAAUUUUGGUGCUAACUUGCAUACUAGGUGUUGUUUAAGUUGCUCCACACUGAGCCUCUCAAAGAUCUGAAUGUUCUUUUGCUAAGUUGCUUUUCCAUACAAUACUUUCUUUCAGACAUUAGCUAAGUUAAUUACACAUUCGUAUUUUCCCAACAUCAGAAUGAGCAUGUUUCGAUCCUCAAUUUCGGUUGCACCUCACCGUCAUGAUCGUACAUGAUUGCACAUCCAAAUAUAAUCAUCUUUAAAUAUUCAUGUUGCUAGACUAAUGAGCAACUUAUGCAACUUAUGUAGCGAAGUUAGCAAACCUACUUGGUUUUGGGCCAUGGUAGGCAACGACUUCAUAGAAGAAAGAAAACAACUUUUAGUGGCAAAUAAAAGUAGAACUGUACUAAAUUUUGCUAUUUGUUUCCGCAGGUUCUAGAACGCAACAAAUGUAGAGGCAAUCGACAAGCAAUAUUAUUUCUAUGCAUAAAGAAACUUCUGCUUUCCUAGUAGUACUGAGGAUUCUUAGUUUGCUUUCUUUCAGGAUGUUGAGCGAAGAAAAAAAAAACAUCAAAUUGUGGAAGUAGGUACAAUAUGGAGCAAACUCCAGUUCCAGGAUGUCCUAUGUUGUAUUCACCUAAUUAUUGCUUCUAUGGUCUCCUUAAAGAAAAUCAGGAAACAAGUAUUGAAAGUCUUAUUAUGAUCCAGGCAGCACUCAUCAAGAGAUAGCAGUUUGUUA